RNAcentral lists this ribosomal RNA (374 nucleotides) under uncultured bacterium. RNAcentral's name for it is "bacterial SSU rRNA". It matches the Rfam family "Bacterial small subunit ribosomal RNA", at positions 524 to 898 of the family's 1533-position model. The record is from RNAcentral.
UACGGAUGGAGCUAGCGUUGUUCGGAAUUACUGGGCGUAAAGCGCGCGUAGGCGGUCCAUCAAGUCAGAGGUGAAAGCCCGGGGCUCAACCCCGGAACUGCCUUUGAAACUGGCGGACUAGAAUCUUGGAGAGGCGAGUGGAAUUCCGAGUGUAGAGGUGAAAUUCGUAGAUAUUCGGAAGAACACCAGUGGCGAAGGCGACUCGCUGGACAAGUAUUGACGCUGAGGUGCGAAAGCGUGGGGAGCAAACAGGAUUAGAGACCCUGGUAGUCCACGCCGUAAACGAUGGGUGCUAGGUGUGGAGGGCUACAAUCCUCCGUGCCGCAGUUAACGCAAUAAGCACUCCGCCUGGGGAGUACGGCCGCAAGGCUAAA